AGAGUUUGAUCAUGGCUCAGGAUGAACGCUGGCGGCGUGCCUAAUACAUGCAAGUCGGACGAGGCACAGACAUCGUAAGGUGACUGUACCUAGUGGCGAACGGGUGAGUAACACGUAGGCGACCUGCCCCGGAGAGGGGGACAACGGCUCGAAAGGGCUGCUAAUACCCCAUUCGUCUCAUCGAGAUUAGAGGCUAGAUGAGGAAAAGGAGCAAUCCGCUCUGGGAGGGGCCUGCGGCCCAUCAGGUAGUUGGUGAGGUGAAGGCUCACCAAGCCGAAGACGGGUAGGGGGCCUGAGAGGGUGGUCCCCCACACGGGCACUGAGAGACGGGCCCGACUCCUACGGGAGGCAGCAGUAAGGGAUAUUGCGCAAUGGGCGAAAGCCUGACGCAGCAACGCCGCGUGCGCGAGGAAGGCCUUCGGGUCGUAAAGCGCUUUUGGGGCUGAAGAGCGAGGACGGUAAGCCCCGAAUAAGUGUCGGCUAACUACGUGCCAGCAGCCGCGGUAAACGUAGGACGCGAGCGUUAUCCGGAGUUACUGGGCGUAAAGGGCAGGCAGGCGGACCGGCAAGCGUUGUGUGAAAUC
This 584-nucleotide ribosomal RNA is filed under the name uncultured bacterium. RNAcentral's name for it is "bacterial SSU rRNA". It matches the Rfam family "Bacterial small subunit ribosomal RNA", at positions 8 to 601 of the family's 1533-position model. The record is from RNAcentral.